Anopheles funestus (African malaria mosquito) is the source of this 938-nucleotide long non-coding RNA. RefSeq lists it as uncharacterized. Lineage: Eukaryota; Metazoa; Arthropoda; Insecta; Diptera; Culicidae. The transcript is spliced from 3 exons. The record is from RefSeq and is a predicted model, not a curated record.
ACCGCUCUCGCUCUCUAAAAUGUGCGGUGCGCUUGAGGUAGCUCCACACGGAGCGCUGCGAUUGUGCUAUGCGCUCCCAGGAGCAAAGUUUCGCACCACAAGGAGCGCUGCAUGCAGGAGUGAUUCUUGCGAUACAACUACAUCGUUUUCCCGUGAGCUGUGCGGGAGCGCGCACAAUAAGAUGACCGGAGCGAUUGAAAUACCUCUUUCGCUCUUGACCCACUAGUAAUAGCCUUAGGAAAUUUUCAAAUUUUUUGAAUUUUUUUUAAUUUUUUCUAAUUUUUUAUUCUUUUUUUAAUUUAAAACAUUAUUUGAGUGAAAGAAACUUAUUGCAACCAAUUGGCAUUAAAAUAAAUCAAUUUAAAUUUUUUUGCAAAAUUUCUCAAAAAAAUGGCAAGGGGUACCCCUUAUGAAAUUUUCGAGUUGAAAAUUUUUUUAGAAUUUUUUUUCGAUUUUUUAUUCUUUUUUGUGUUUAAAGUAUAAUUUGAGUGAAAAGAAACUUAUUGCAAUAAAUUCGCAUUAAAAUAUAUCACAUUUAUAAAUUUUGCUAAAUUACUCAAAAAUGAAGAAAAUUUUACAUUUUCUCAAACAGGGUAUGGAACUUGGUUCCUCGAAUAAGUUUUGGCACAGACAUCUGAGGGCAUGGCCGUCCAAGAAGAAAAUGUAGCCAUUGGUGCCAUCUAUCGACCACAGGUUACAGAUUGGCGAUCCGUUGGAUACCGACCGAGUUAUAGGCAAAACUUGGUGCAAAAAUGAGGAAAAUUUUACAUUUUCUCAAACAGGGUAUGGAACAUGGUUCCUCGAAUAACUUCUGGCACAGACAUCUGAGGGCAUGGCCGUCCAAGAAGAAAAUGUAGCCAUUGGUGCCAUCUAUCGACCACAGGUUACAGAUUGGCGAUCCGUUGGAUACCGACCGAGUUAUAGGCAAAACUUGGUGC